CGUAGGGUGCGAGCGUUAAUCGGAAUUACUGGGCGUAAAGUGUGCGCAGGUGGCCGCGCAUGUCGAGUGUGAAAUCCCCGGGCUUAACUUGGGAAUUGCGCUCGAAACUACGUGGCUGGAGUGUGGCAGAGGGAGGUGGAAUUCCACGUGUAGCGGUGAAAUGCGUAGAGAUGUGGAGGAACACCAAUGGCGAAGGCAGCCUCCUGGGCCAACACUGACACUCAUGCACGAAAGCGUGGGGAGCAAACAGGAUUAGAUACCCUGGUAGUCCACGCCCUAAACGAUGAUGACUAGUUGUUGGGGGAGUUAAAUCCCUUAGUAACGCAGCUAACGCGCGAAGUCAUCCGCCUGGGGAGUACGGUCGCAAGAUUA
This 372-nucleotide ribosomal RNA is filed under the name uncultured organism. RNAcentral describes it as "bacterial SSU rRNA". It matches the Rfam family "Bacterial small subunit ribosomal RNA", at positions 526 to 896 of the family's 1533-position model. The record is from RNAcentral.